CUCGUGUCGUGAGAUGUUGGGUUAAGUCCCGCAACGAGCGCAACCCCUAUCUUCAGUAGCCAGCAUUACGGAUGGGCACUCUGGAGAGACUGCCAGGGACAACCUGGAGGAAGGUGGGGAUGACGUCAAAUCAUCAUGCCCCUUAUGGCCAGGGCUACACACGUGCUACAAUGGCGUGAACAAAGGGAAGCAGCCAUGUGAAUGUGAGCAAAUCCCAAAAAUAACGUCUCAGUUCGGAUUGUAGUCUGCAACUCGACUACAUGAAGCUGGAAUCGCUAGUAAUCGCGAAUCAGAAUGUCGCGGUGAAUACGUUCCCGGGUCUUGUACACACCGCCCGUCACACCAUGGGAGUCAGUAACGCCCGAAGCCGGUGACCUAACCGAAAGGGAGGAGCCGUCGAAGGUGGGACCGAUAACUGGGGUGAAGUCGUAACAAGGUAGCCGUAUCGGAAGGUGCGGUUGGAUCACCUC
RNAcentral lists this ribosomal RNA (470 nucleotides) under uncultured bacterium. Its description in RNAcentral is "bacterial SSU rRNA". It matches the Rfam family "Bacterial small subunit ribosomal RNA", at positions 1059 to 1529 of the family's 1533-position model. The record is from RNAcentral.